GACGAACGCUGGCGGCGUGCUUAACACACGCAAGUCGAACGGAAAGGCCCUGCUUUUGUGGGGUGCUCGAGUGGCGAACGGGUGAGUAACACGUGAGUAACCUGCCCUUGACUUUGGGAUAACUUCAGGAAACUGGGGCUAAUACCGGAUAGGAGCUCCUGCUGCAUGGUGGGGGUUGGAAAGUUUCGGCGGUUGGGGAUGGACUCGCGGCUUAUCAGCUUGUUGGUGGGGUAGUGGCUUACCAAGGCUUUGACGGGUAGCCGGCCUGAGAGGGUGACCGGCCACAUUGGGACUGAGAUACGGCCCAGACUCCUACGGGAGGCAGCAGUGGGGAAUAUUGCACAAUGGGCAGAAGCCUGAUGCAGCAACGCCGCGUGCGGGAUGACGGCCUUCGGGUUGUAAACCGCUUUCGCCUGUGACGAAGCGUGAGUGACGGUAAUGGGUAAAGAAGCACCGGCUAACUACGUG
RNAcentral lists this ribosomal RNA (468 nucleotides) under uncultured bacterium. RNAcentral's name for it is "partial 16S ribosomal RNA". It matches the Rfam family "Bacterial small subunit ribosomal RNA", at positions 28 to 507 of the family's 1533-position model. The record is from RNAcentral.